UAUCAUCAUCAUUCUUCACGACAUUUUUUCCUCCGCAAAACUUCAUCUUCUUAUUUCACAUUCUUUUUCUAUUUUGUUUCUUCCUCCUUUAAUUCUUCCUUCAACCAUUAUCACACAUCCAUUGAUACAUCAUCUCCACCUUCAUCUCUAGUUCGUUAGUUUUAAAAGAUAGGAAAUUUUUGGGUUAUUGGACUUGCGGUUUUCGGAUCAAGAGGUCGAGAUUGUUGGGUCUUUAUAGUGUAAUUUCACUUUUAUUACUUUUCCUAAUCAAAACACGGGUUUGUAGAGGAACCUUUUUGACUUGAGAUUGAGGUACAUUGACUGUGUUUGCUAUUGAGAUGAUGCGUAGACACGCGCGUGCCAGAAACUCAAGCUCGAAUCGUAUGAUGCGUGGGAUAGCUCAAUCCACUCGAGCCUUAACUGAUGCUAUGGAGAAACUUGCUGAGGCUCAAGCUGCUGCUCUUAAUACUCCUGUU
Molecule: long non-coding RNA, 476 nt
Organism: Beta vulgaris subsp. vulgaris (sugar beet)
Lineage: Eukaryota; Viridiplantae; Streptophyta; Magnoliopsida; Caryophyllales; Amaranthaceae
Exons: 3
Source: RefSeq, a predicted model, not a curated record